RNAcentral lists this non-coding RNA (30 nucleotides) under Homo sapiens (human). The record is from RNAcentral. Lineage: Eukaryota; Metazoa; Chordata; Mammalia; Primates; Hominidae.
UGUUCAGGUUAAGGUAAAGGAUCGUGGAGU